GUGAGGAAUUUUCCGCAAUGGGCGAAAGCCUGACGGAGCAAUGCCGCGUGAAGGAUGAAGGCCUAUGGGUUGUAAACUUCUUUUCUCAGAAAAGAAUUAUGACGGUAUCUGAGGAAUAAGCAUCGGCUAACUCUGUGCCAGCAGCCGCGGUAAGACAGAGGAUGCACGCGUUAUCCGGAAUGAUUGGGCGCAAAGCGUCUGUAGGUUGUUUAAAAAGUAUUCUGUCAAAGAUUAGGGCUUAACCUUAGAUAGGCAGAAUAAACUUUUAAGCUAGAGUUUGGUAGAGGCAGAGGGAAUUACCGGUGGAGCGGUGAAAUGCGUAGAUAUCGGGAGGAACAACAAAGGCGGAGGCACUCUGCUGGGCGAAUACUAACACUGAGAGACGAAAGCGAGGGGAGCAAAUGGGAUUAGAUACCCCGGUAGUCC
RNAcentral lists this ribosomal RNA (426 nucleotides) under uncultured bacterium. Its description in RNAcentral is "bacterial SSU rRNA". It matches the Rfam family "Bacterial small subunit ribosomal RNA", at positions 354 to 796 of the family's 1533-position model. The record is from RNAcentral.